Molecule: ribosomal RNA, 465 nt
Filed under: Vreelandella stevensii
Lineage: Bacteria; Pseudomonadati; Pseudomonadota; Gammaproteobacteria; Oceanospirillales; Halomonadaceae
Description: partial 16S ribosomal RNA
Rfam family: Bacterial small subunit ribosomal RNA
Source: RNAcentral
CCUACGGGUGGCUGCAGUGGGGAAUAUUGGACAAUGGGCGAAAGCCUGAUCCAGCCAUGCCGCGUGUGUGAAGAAGGCCUUCGGGUUGUAAAGCACUUUCAGUGGGGAAGAAAGCCUUGGGGCUAAUACCCUCGAGGAAGGACAUCACCCACAGAAGAAGCACCGGCUAACUCCGUGCCAGCAGCCGCGGUAAUACGGAGGGUGCGAGCGUUAAUCGGAAUUACUGGGCGUAAAGCGCGCGUAGGCGGUCUGAUAAGCCGGUUGUGAAAGCCCCGGGCUCAACCUGGGAACGGCAUCCGGAACUGUCAGGCUAGAGUGCAGGAGAGGAAGGUAGAAUUCCCGGUGUAGCGGUGAAAUGCGUAGAGCUCGGGAGGAAUACCAGUGGCGAAGGCGGCCUUCUGGACUGACACUGACGCUGAGGUGCGAAAGCGUGGGUAGCAAACAGGAUUAGAUACCCGGGUAGUC